Molecule: ribosomal RNA, 202 nt
Filed under: uncultured bacterium
Lineage: Bacteria
Description: partial 16S ribosomal RNA
Rfam family: Bacterial small subunit ribosomal RNA
Source: RNAcentral
UACGUAGGGUGGCAAGCGUUGUCCGGAUUUAUUGGGUUUAAAGGGUGACGUAGGCGGUCUAUUAAGUCAGUGUCUGAAAUAUCCCGGCUUAACCGGGGAGGGUGGCAUUGAUACUGAUGGACUUGAGUGCAGUCGAGGUAGGCGGAAUUGGACGGUGUAGCGGUGAAAUGCUUAGAUAUCGUCAAGAACACCGAUAGUGAAG